This 403-nucleotide ribosomal RNA is filed under the name Fusobacteriota bacterium. RNAcentral describes it as "Fusobacteria bacterium partial 16S ribosomal RNA". It matches the Rfam family "Bacterial small subunit ribosomal RNA", at positions 355 to 776 of the family's 1533-position model. Lineage: Bacteria; Fusobacteriati; Fusobacteriota. The record is from RNAcentral.
UGGGGAAUAUUGCACAAUGGAGGGAACUCUGAUGCAGCGACGCCGCGUGAACGAAGAAGGCUUUCGAGUCGUAAAGUUCUUUUAUAUGGGAAGAUAAUGACGGUACCAUAAGAAAAAGCCCCGGCUAACUACGUGCCAGCAGUCGCGGUAAUACGUAGGGGGCUAGCGUUGUCCGGAAUCACUGGGCGUAAAGGGUUCGCAGGCGGAAAUGCAAGUCCGGUGUAAAAGGCAGUAGCUUAACUACUGUAAGCAUUUGAAACUGCAUAUCUUGAGAAGAGUAGAGGUAAGUGGAAUUUUUAGUGUAGCGGUGAAAUGCGUAGAUAUUAAAAAGAAUACCGGUGGCGAAGGCGACUUACUGGGCUCAUUCUGACGCUGAGGAACGAAAGCGUGGGUAGCAAACAGG